RNAcentral lists this long non-coding RNA (8567 nucleotides) under Marmota monax (woodchuck). The stretch from base 680 to 752 matches the Rfam family "tRNA". The record is from RNAcentral. Lineage: Eukaryota; Metazoa; Chordata; Mammalia; Rodentia; Sciuridae.
CGAUCCUCAGCACCACAUAAAUACAAAAUAAAGGUAUGAUGUCCACCUACAACUAAAACACAACAAAACAAAACAAACCACCACAAUGAAACACUGUUUUACUCACCAGAUUGAUUGACCGACUGACAGGAGCACUAUGCCAGCAGACCUGAGGCUGCAGAACAAGAAGCAUGGUCAGGUGCUGGAGGAGUGACAGGUACAGUAGGAUCUUGGUAAAUAUUUUGCUAAAUCAAGUGCAGAACGGGUGUAGAACAGGGAGCAAUCCCACAGCCUGGGUUGAAUGUGGUCUGCUGGCAUAUUUUAUUUGCUUUCACAGCGUUCACCAAAUGAACUGAUUGCUAAGAGUGUUAAAUCAGGAGAUUGAUUUCACAACUUCUCUUGAAAAAUAGUCAUUUCUGGCAGCUCUUGGCCCAGUCUACAAUGGCCAACCCUUGGCUGGAGCUGGGCAGCAACUGUGGCCACACCCCCAUGGCUCCCCUGCCUCCCACACUGGGGCUGGCUCAACUAGAGGCACAAAGCCUGUCCCUCCAGGACUGGGGAUUUAAUGGGAUCUACAUUCCUGGGAAUAAAAUCCAGAGACUGGAAUGACCAGCUUUGUCUUAGGACAUGGGACAAUUUCUUCAGGGAGAUACUGACAUCCUAUAAUCCCAUGUCCUUAAAACCAUAUAGGGCUUGGGCUGGGGAUAUAGUUUGGUUGGUAGAGUGUUUGCCUUUCAUGCACAAGGCCCUGGGUUCAAUCCCCAGCAUCACAAAAAAACAAACAAAAAACCCCCCUAUAGGGUUGAUGCUAUAAUUGACCUCCCCCUGCCCUGCCCCAGUACUGAGGUUGCAACUCAGGGGCACUCUACCACUGAGCUACAUGCCAAGCCCUUUCUUCUUUGAGUCAGGGUCUCGCUGAGUUGCUGAGGCUGCCCUCAAACUUUCAAUCCUCCUACCUCAGGCUCAGUAGCUAAGAUCAUAGGCCUGCGCCCCUGUGUCUUUCUAUAAAUCAACAUUUUUCACAGAAAAACCGAGGCUCAAAGAAGUUAAGAAAUUUGCCCAAUUGGUGGCUCAGCUGAAAUGUGAGCUCAGGAAUCUCUGGGUUAGCUAAUAUUGAUUAACUACAUUCAUAUGCUAAGCACUUAUUGAGUGAGAUACUUGGCUCCCACUGCAGGCAGCCCUGGGAGACAGAAGCAACUGCCAUUCAUUCCCAUCUUCCUUGUGAGAAAGCUGGGGUUCAGAAGCUGCUGAGUGUAAAGGUCAGCGGUAGUUCUGGGUUUGGAACCCAGUGAUCUCACUACACUGGCUGAAUCUCAGACACUGUCCCAUCUGCCCCUGGUGAUUCUGCAGUGUCCCCACCUAACCAACUCACCAGUUCCCUCUUCACACUCACCACUGCUAACAUUUCAGUGCCUUUCUUUCAAGGCAGAAACAUUUUCUGUGUUUGCUUUUAAUACCCAAAUGGGAUUCCACGUGCUCUGCAAUGUGCUGUGCCCUCUCUUAACAAUGUGCUGUGGUGCAUUUCCCAUAUCAUCUAGGGACAGACUGGAAUUUAUUUUACUUAUAGCAAUAAGUAUGUGGGUUUCCCCAGGUUUUCCUUAUUUAAAGAGAACUAAUGCAUUGCCAAGGACAUUGACAUUGUAAUCCCAGAAACUCAACUCAGGAGGCUGAGGUAGGGGGACUGCUAGUUCAAGGCCUACCUCUGUAACUUAGUGAGAUUGUCUCAAAAUUUAAAAUAAUAAUAAUAAUAAUAAUAAUAAUGUAAAGGACUAGGGAUAUAACUCAGUGGUAGUGUCCCUGGGUUCAAUCCCUAUUACUGGGGAAAAAUGCAUCAAACAUCCUCAUCUACUUAACUUUGUGCACUUGAACAUUUAUUUCUGCAGGACAAUUCCAAGGAGAAUCCUGGGGUAAAGGUCAUGCAUAUGUAUGACUCUGAUACUGUCAAACUGCCUCCAGAAAGACUCUACCAAUGCAUAGUUCCACCAACACUGUGUGAAAGUGUUUUCCACACCCUUGCCUGCACUGGGCGUAUUUUCCCUUUGCUUUCUCAAGCUGCUUUGUUAUUGUUAUAAUCAGUUCAGUGUCACCAGUUGAUUACAACUAUAAAAGGAACAAAACAAAAUAAUCUAUGUCUAGGAAACACACCAAGAUGAUUGAUGGCAAUGAUUCAAUUUAUGUGGGCAAUGAUACAAUUGGUUACACUUUUUUUCAAUUUUUCCCAUUUUUUUCCCCCUAGUGCUGAGAAUUGAACCCAGGGCCUCAACUCUUGCUAGGCAAGUGCUCUACCAUUGACCUAUACCCCCAGCCCUCCUCAUGUUCUUAAAUGAAUGUUGCUUUCAUAACAGUUGGGAAAAUAACCUCCCUGCCUCCUUCCCUAUUUUUUUUUAAGAGAGAGAGAGAAAUAAUUUUUUUAAUAUUUAUUUUUUAGUUUUCGGCGGACACAACAUCUUUCUUUGUAUGUGGUGCUGAGGAUCGAACCCGGGCCCCACGCAUGCCAGGCGAGCGCACUACUGCUUGAGCCACAUCCCCAGCCCUCCCUAUUUAUUUUAAAAACAGGUCUAGGGGUCUGGGAAUAUAGCUCAGUUGGUAGAGUGCUUGCUUUGUAUGCACAAGGCCCUGGGUUCGAUCCCCAACACCACCAAAAAAUAAAAGCAAAAAAACAGGUCUAGAGUGUCAGUCUUUGGGGCAGCAUGGAGGCGGGGGCUAAGGAGACUGUUCCCUUGGCCACAGGCCCCGCCCACACAGUGGUAAAGAAAUGAAAGUAACUGGGAUUACUAAGGGUCUGAGGCAAGGAGGGGACUGGGGGAACCCUGGGCCGGAACAGUCAGCAGCCAACAAAGAUCAGACAUUUUGAGAACCAUUAGAGGAACCCUCCCUAAAGCACUCUCCCUGUUCCAGGAGAGGGCACUCACAUGGAUAGUCAGGUGACCAGACCUGAAUUGCCACCUCCGGUCUCAAGAUCCCAUUGACUUGUACCUUUCUAAACUCCCUCAGAAUCCUUUUGACUCUCCCUUAGUUGGGACUCACUCUUGGCUGGACUGCUACAACCACCUGUCAUCAGCUGCCACCUCAGCCCCUGCCAUACUUAUCUCCCACAAAGCUGUCAAUUCAGAAUGAUUCUAACAUGCAAAUCUGAAUAAACCCCUUUAAUGGUCCCCUGGGACCUUUAGCCCUGGCUCUCAGCCUAGGCUGGGAAUCACCUGGAGAGCUUUUAACCCUCUCUGAACACCAGGUCCCACAGUCUGAGAUUCAGACUAAAGAUGUUUUUAGUUUUUAAAGCUCCCCAGAUGAUUCUAAUGUGCAGCCAGGGUUGGAAACUGCUGGCCUCUCAGAGUGCAGUUUCUCCAGCAGGGUGUCCAGAGACCCUAUGUCAUUCUUUCAGCAAAUAAUGACUAAGCCCCUGCUCCAUGCUGGACUUCUCCCAGGCGCUGAGGUUAUAAUGAAUCCUAUUUAGGCUCCUUAUGAAGUUGUGGUCCAUCAGGAUCAAUUGAGCCCUUCGUGUUUUAAGACUACUUCUGCCUCCUUCCACCUCCUCCUCUGUUCUAGUUACCAUGACAGAUUUGGGAUUCCCCAAACUUGCCCUGCUCUGACCUCAAGAUCUAUCUCUUCACCCAAAAUUCUAGCCCUCAGCUUCCUGGCCUAGCUAAGACAACUUGAGAACCACUUCCUCUGAAAAGCCCCCACCUAAACUCACCACCCUCCAUCUGCCCAUGUGACCUCUGCAGCCAUCCCUGGUACCUAGUCCCUACUGCCCCUGUCAUGGCACCUUUCGUUUUUUUGGUGCGCUCACCAGCUCACAGGCAGACUAUGACUAAGCCAUCUCUGAAGCUCCAGUGGAGGUGCUGAACAACUCUUGGGUGAAUCCAUAAUGAACAAAUCUAAACAGCCCUGAGGAGGGUGUGGAUGUGAGGCAACUGCACAGGGCAGAUGUGGAAUGAGAGGAGACUCGGUUUCAGAAGGUGGAGGCGGCCAGCUUCUCAGGAGGUUCAGAAGAGGUAGUCCUGUAACACCCAUCAAAGCUGCGUGAGUGGUGGCAGCCUACUGCCUAGUUCCCCUGUGGGGUGAAAAUAAUGGGAUCUUGAACACUCACUUGCAUACGGCUUUGCAGGGUGGAUGUCAAGAGUGUAGAUGGAGGCCUACAUACUAUGUAUCUGAAAACCUCAGAGUUACAAAAUAAGCCAACAACUGUUGAAUAUGGUUUGUUUUCUAUUCUAUCCUAUCCUCUUCUUUACCUUGAUAAACAUACCUUCCUAAUGGCCUGGAAGCUAAUUGGAAUUCUCAGAGUUCUUGGGAAUGUGGUGGCACAAGAACUAGACCCCGGCCCUUAGACUUCUCUUUCUACUGAUAGUAAGCAGAACAAGGCCCUUCCAGUGUCCAUACCCUAAUCCUGAGAACCUAUGAAUAUAUUUGUUGAGAGCCACAGCCAAGUCGGAAUGGCCGCUGGCAUUUUGCCAGAAGGAAUGGUUUCGAGGUGACCCCAGGGAGCCAUUAAGAUGAUGGUAAUUAAGUUAAGCUGUGUAUAAUUGCUGUGAAUGGAUGAUGCUGGAUUGAAACAGGCUGUGUAUUAAUUUGUAGAUAGACCCCUGCUGUCCGGCAAUAGGGCGGCUCCUGCUGCCUCACUACUUUUGAGUUCUCGAGGAGUUCCCAGUUGAGUUCCGGUUGAGCUCUCGGGGAUUCCUGGAGAGUUCGAGUUGGUUGGUGAAGUUCCGGUGGAGGGAGUUCCGUUUGGUGUGUGGUGUUCCUGGGAAUUUGGGCAAUAAAGGAGUUCCUGUUUGAACCUACAAGUGCCUCAUGGCGGCUCCAUUAUUUUGUGCCCAGCCAGACUGCGGCAUAUAUUAUCUUAAUAUGACAAGGGAGAUUAAAAUUCCUAGUCAUCUAACCCACAAAACAGGGAGAUUAUCCUGGAUUAUCAAAUGGGCUCAAUGUAAUCACAAAGAUCUAAAAGUGAAAAGAGGGAACAGGGGUCAGCCAGGAGAAUGCCAAUCAAUACUUUUGAUUAUAGCCCACUGAGACCCAUUUUUUUUUUUUAUUGGUACCGGGGGAUUCAACUCAGGGGUACUCAACCACUGAGCCACACCCCCAGCCCUAUUCUGUAGUUUUUACUGAGUUGCUUAGCACCUCACAGUUGCUGAGGCUGGCUUUGAACUCACAGUUCUCCUGUCUCAGUCUCCCAAGCUGCUGGGAUUACAGGCAUUUGCCACCACACUGAGCCACUGAGAUCUAUUUGGAUUUUUUCUUUAAUUAGGUAUUAAAUCCAGGGGUGCUUUACCGCUGAGCUACAUUCCCACACCUUUUUAAUUUUUAUUUUGAGAUAAGGUCUCACUAAAAGUUACCUAAGCCAGCCUCAAACUUUCAAUCCUCCUGCCUCAGGCUCCUAAAUCCCUGGAAUUACAGAUGUGUGCCACCACACCCAGAUCUGUUUUAGACUUCUGAUCUCUAAAAUGAGAUAAUAACUUUGUGGUAACUCUUACACAGCAGCAAUAGGAAACUAGUACACUACCCUCCCUAGUCCCCUGCAGCCUGUAAGUGCAAAGUCACACUCUCAUUAAAGUCUGCCCCUUGGCCAUUUCUUGGACCUAGGGGCACACACACCAGUGUUCUUGAGAGAAGGGACCUGGGAAGCAGCUCUGGAAAUGAGCAGGGAAUUCUGGGAUUUUGGCAUUUGCAGCCUGGUCUACCAGAGGUGUGGGCUUGGGGCUAGCCCCAUUCCUAGACCACAUAGCUCCUUACCUGCUCACUUGGGUCAAAUGGCUUCAUCUCCCUGAGCCUCAGCUGUAAAAUCAACCAUUAGGUUAUUUUUGAGCACCUUGCUUAUGCCAAAUGUUAUGCUUAGUGACAGAGAUUUGAAAAUGCUAGUCCUUGUCCGCAAGGGAUUCAGCUCCUUAUAAUUCUGACCUCACAGGCCUUCUACCCAAGAAGAGAAUGGCAGGAAAAGCAGCUAGCACAUGGUAUGCCCACAAUAAAUUUUAAAUUCUUUCCAUUUCUACUUAAUUUCAAGUAGGUAAAUGAACUGUCAAGUUACAAAAAUCCCAGGGCAGGGUGUGAAUCUAUAAUGCUUAUCUAGCACAUACAAGGCCCUGAAAUAAAAUAAAUAAAAAUCCCUUGCUCAAACUCUUUAGUGGAUUCCAUUUGCUCCUGGGAGGACACUAUGGCCCUUUGGCAAGUCUUUGCCUUGCUGUGUUCCUCCAGUCUGCAAUGUUCUGUCCUUCACCCAUACCCACCCCUUUCACUAAGCCUUCCCUUUCAGGGCUUGGUUGAAAUGACAUUCUCUGAAAGAAGAACUCCUUCUCAGUUUCAGAACCUCAGUAACCAGAACUGGUUUACCUGUUAUCCUCUCUCCCAACACUAGGUAGGGUUCUCUGUAGCACUAACCACAAAGGUUACUAUAUGGCUAUUUGCAUUACCUAUUUUUGGUAAAACAUAAAAUAAAUUUAUUUUAACAAUUUAAAUUUUUCAUAUUGUUUAAAAGACUCCCAGCUAGAUGUGGUGGUGUAAGCCUGUAAUCCCAGCAGCUCAGGAGGCUUAGGCAGGAGGACUGGGUGUUCAAAGCCAGCCUCAGCAACUCAGCAAGAACCUAAGCAAUUCAGCAAGAUCUUGUCUUUAAAUAAAAUACAAAAAAAAAAAAAGGCUAGGGAUGUGGCUCAGCGGUUAAGCACCCCUGUGUUCAAUUCCUGGUACCAAAAAAAAAAAAAGAAAGAAAAAGCUCCAAAUAUAUUACAUUUUUAUAUUGUGGCAAAGUGUACAUAAAAUUUACCAUUUUCAUCAUUUGCAGGUGUGCAGUUCCAUGGCAUGGAGCACACUCACACUGCUGUGCUUCUCACCACCCUUUCUCCAAACUGUACCAUCCCAGGAUCCAACUCUGCACCGCUCCACAGAAACUCCCUAACUGCUUCCUCACAGGAUGCCUGGCAACAGGGGUUCUACUUCCUGUCUCUGUGACUUACUGUAGGUACUUCAUACAACUGGAACCAUCUAGCAUUUGGCCUGCUGUGACUGGCUUAUUUCACUUAGUUUAAUGUCUUCAAGGUUCAUCCAUGAGGUAGCACAUACCAGGGUUUCAUUCCUUUUAAAAACUGAGUAAUAUUUCACUGUAUGUAUAUAGCAAAUUUUGUUUAUCUAUUCAUCUUUCAAUGAACAUCGAGUUUUUCCUACAUUUGGCUAUUAUGAAUAAUGCUUCUAUGAACAUUGGGGUACAAGUGCCUGUUCUUAAAUACCUUGGUAUAUACACCCAGCAGUAGAAGCAAUUGUGGGCAAAUGGUAAUGCUGUUAUGCUUACUAUGGAUUACUUUACAUCCACUCUUCAGUGUUAUGUUGACAUGCUUCCUCCUGUAGCACCCAGAGGUAGGAACUCAGUCUUACUGCUGGGCCCAGCACAGGCCUGGUGCUUUGAUUAACGUUUGGGAAGGGAUGGAUGAAUGGUAAAUUUAGCUGAAGCAGAUAUAAAGAGAAGACAAGUGACAGGGUUCCUGAUGGUAAUUUUCACUCCCAGAGGUCCCAAAUAGACUGCCCACAGAGUUGUCUGGUUUUCCUCAGUUUUUGUUUUUGUUUGUUGUUGUUUUGUAGUACUGGGAAUUGAACCCAGGGGUGCUCUGCCAGUGAGCUACAUCGCAGCCCUUUUGGGAACAGGGUCUCAUUAAACUACAGAAGCUAGCCGCAAUCUUGAGAUUCUCCAGCCUCAGCCUCCCAAGUAGCUGGGAGUACAGGUGGUGUUGUUUUUUAAAUUUUCUAACUUUCUUGCCUGGGGCUCACCCUUCCUACAGCCUCACACCAGAAGCCAUUAGGUUAGAGCCCAAGUAUCUAUGCUUCAAGGUUCCUCUUCAGGCGACAGAAAACUUUUAGUCAGAAGGAACAGUGUUAGAAUUCAAGCUCCAUCACUUCUUGGUGAUGACCCUAAGUCUCUUUCCUCAUGUGUAAAAUGGGAAUAUUGUAUAAUGCAUACAUCAACUAUAAAGAUUAACCCAAAUAUAUGAAGGGUCCAGAACAAAGGAGAUCUGUCAAUAAAUAUUAGUUCUUUCUUAUCUCCUCCUCUGAGCUUUCUCUGUGGCCCCCAAAUCCCUGUGAGCUCAGCUGGUAGGCAUGACAAUCUGACCACCAUGAGAGCAAUUUCUAAAACAGACCAGGAGUGGGAGGUAGUUCAGUGGUAGAUCACUUGCCUAGCACCAGUCAGACCGUGGGUUUGAUCCCUAGCACAAAAAUGAAUAAAACAAAGAUUAAAGGAACAUGUUCUAGAGCUCAGGAAUUCACCACACAUAAUUCUCUCCACAGAUGCUUAGUUCACAAUUAGGGCUGUGAGACUUUUUACUAUAUCCCAGAUCAACAUUAGCCACAUUGACAAUCUCUGACCACAUCUACAAGGAUAACAGGAACAACUCACAAGCACAGUGUUAGAGCAUGCACAGAAGUUUCACGCACAGUAGCCCCCCCUUGUCUGUGGAGUGUAUGUUCUAAGACUUCUUGCCUGAAACUGAGGUGAGUAUUGAACCCUAUAAAUACUUUGUUUUUCCUACACAUACAUAUCUAUGAUAAAGUUUAAUUAAUAGAUUAGGCAUGGUAAGAGAUUAACAAUAAUAAAAUAGAAUAAACAAUGU